Eutrema salsugineum is the source of this 955-nucleotide long non-coding RNA. RefSeq lists it as uncharacterized. Lineage: Eukaryota; Viridiplantae; Streptophyta; Magnoliopsida; Brassicales; Brassicaceae. The transcript has 3 exons. The record is from RefSeq and is a predicted model, not a curated record.
CCUAUCUUCCUCUCAGCCAAGGAUCUCAGUCUCAUCUCACCGCCUCCGAUCAAUCUUCCUCUCUUAGUCCCGACGCCAUCUUCUCUCUUUCCAUCUCAGAUUUGAUAUCCUUCUCCAACGUGAAUCGAUCAUUCACCAAGCGAUAAUGAGUCUUAGGGUUUUAUUCCUCGCUCUCCUUCUCCUUGAAUCUCCUUUGCUUUCGUUAUGCUCUCUCUCUCUCCUUUUCCGUGAAUUUAAUAGAUAUAGAUCAGUUUGUUUAUAGUGGAUUUUGUAGAUCUAGUUCUACUGACGGCGGAUGUGGCGGUUGGGUAAUAUGGGGCCGCAUUUUCCGGUGCUGAGGGAGACUAAGAGAAAACGUGGGUUUAGGUUUUUGGAAGACGUUACAAAGAAAGGUUUUGUCUAAUUUGCCUCUAGCUAUCGCAGAAAUGUUAACCAUUGCUGCUCUCCAUGGCUCUCAGUAAGUUCUAGGGUUUGGAUUUUCCUUUCUGUAAAUUAAUUGAUGCAGUAACUGAUCGGAAUCACAUGUACGCUGCUCCUAUAUGCCUUGGGAUGUUGGUUCUCUUAGCAGCUUCGCUUAUGGCCUGCACUAAUCAGAUCUUUUUUUUCAUAAAUGCAGAGGACAAAUCUUGAUUUAGAAUCAGUGAAGGAGAAAAUGAAGGAGAACCCGAAGAAGAUUAAGUAAUAUCGUUGAGCAAUUAAGCUAAUGCAUCUCAUUUAUGUGGACAAGUCGAGAAGACACAGUUUGCGGACUAAAUUUUUUUGGGAAUGCUCAGAGUGGGAUGUGAAGCAAAUGCAUCAUGUGGUAUGCAAGACAAUGAGCUGAGCGUGGACGACUUACGAUUCUCGAAGACCAACAUGAUGUUUUGAAUUUUUGAUAUAUAUUUUUCUUUUGAACAAUUGUAUUUUUUUUUGCUGUAUUUGUUAAAUUCUUUUAAUUCAAAUUAUAAAAGCUAAU